CGCCCGUCGCUCCUACCGAUUGGGUGUGCUGGUGAGAUGUCGGGAUUAGUGGCUGUGGGCGGUUCGCCGCCCUCUGCCGCUGAGAACUUCAUCAAGCCCUCCCACCUAGAGGAAGGAGAAGUCGUAACAAGGUUCCU
This 137-nucleotide ribosomal RNA is filed under the name uncultured Trebouxiophyceae. RNAcentral describes it as "partial small subunit ribosomal RNA". It matches the Rfam family "Eukaryotic small subunit ribosomal RNA", at positions 1670 to 1804 of the family's 1831-position model. The record is from RNAcentral. Lineage: Eukaryota; Viridiplantae; Chlorophyta; Trebouxiophyceae.